RNAcentral lists this ribosomal RNA (348 nucleotides) under uncultured bacterium. RNAcentral's name for it is "bacterial SSU rRNA". It matches the Rfam family "Bacterial small subunit ribosomal RNA", at positions 29 to 404 of the family's 1533-position model. The record is from RNAcentral.
AACGAACGCUGGCGGCAUGCCUAACACAUGCAAGUCGAACGAGACCCUUCGGGUCUAGUGGCGCACGGGUGCGUAACGCGUGGGAACCUGCCCCUUGGUUCGGAAUAACACAGAGAAAUUUGUGCUAAUACCGGAUGAUGUCCUCGGACCAAAGAUUUAUCGCCGAGGGAUGGCCCGCGUAGGAUUAGCUUGUUGGUGGGGUAAUGGCCUACCAAGGCGACGAUCCUUAGCUGGCUGAGAGGAUGAUCAGCCACCACUGGGACUGAGACACGGCCCAGACUCCUACGGGAGGCAGCAGUGGGGAAUAUUGGACAAUGGGCGAAAGCCUGAUCCAGCAAUGCCGCGUGA